Molecule: unclassified non-coding RNA, 243 nt
Filed under: Hevea brasiliensis (rubber tree)
Lineage: Eukaryota; Viridiplantae; Streptophyta; Magnoliopsida; Malpighiales; Euphorbiaceae
Source: RNAcentral
GUGAAGACUCAUCUCUGAAUCCCCAUUCACCAGACGAUUUGUUUCCAAAACCAUUUUGCCUUCAGAUUUUGCAUAAAGACUUUCUGCCACAACCACCUGAACAGUUUUCUAUGAAGAUCUCGUACGUUUCUCUUGGUUGAUUGUUUACGGUGAAGACAAUCUCUUCGUCGAAAAACGGCUGCUGCUAAUGCAUUGGAAAUGACGGAGACUGUUUUAGAAGAUAAAGAAAUUCCCUGGAAAAUC